UACGGGAGGCAGCAGUAGGGAAUAUUGGACAAUGGGCGAAAGCCUGAUCCAGCAAUGCCGCGUGAGUGAUGAAGGCCUUAGGGUUGUAAAGCUCUUUUACCCGGGAUGAUAAUGACAGUACCGGGAGAAUAAGCUCCGGCUAACUCCGUGCCAGCAGCCGCGGUAAUACGGAGGGAGCUAGCGUUGUUCGGAAUUACUGGGCGUAAAGCGCACGUAGGCGGCUAUUCAAGUCAGAGGUGAAAGCCCGGGGCUCAACCCCGGGAACUGCCUUUGAAACUAGAUAGCUUGAAUCCAGGAGAGGUGAGUGGAAUUCCGAGUGUAGAGGUGAAAUUCGUAGAUAUUCGGAAGAACACCAGUGGCGAAGGCGGCUCACUGGACUGGUAUUGACGCUGAGGUGCGAAAGCGUGGGGAGCAAACAGGGAUUAGAUACCCGU
Molecule: ribosomal RNA, 434 nt
Filed under: uncultured bacterium
Lineage: Bacteria
Description: bacterial SSU rRNA
Rfam family: Bacterial small subunit ribosomal RNA
Source: RNAcentral